GCGAGUGGGGCGGAAACGACACUAACAAUCCUUCGGGUGCGUUAAUGGGCGUCGAGCGGCGGACGGGUGAGUAAUGCCUAGGAAAUUGCCUUGAUGUGGGGGAUAACCAUUGGAAACGAUGGCUAAUACCGCAUAAUGCCUACGGGCCAAAGAGGGGGACCUUCGGGCCUCUCGCGUCAAGAUAUGCCUAGGUGGGAUUAGCUAGUUGGUGAGGUAAUGGCUCACCAAGGCGACGAUCCCUAGCUGGUCUGAGAGGAUGAUCAGCCACACUGGAACUGAGACACGGUCCAGACUCCUACGGGAGGCAGCAGUGGGGAAUAUUGCAC
This 326-nucleotide ribosomal RNA is filed under the name uncultured Vibrio sp. RNAcentral describes it as "bacterial SSU rRNA". It matches the Rfam family "Bacterial small subunit ribosomal RNA", at positions 39 to 369 of the family's 1533-position model. Lineage: Bacteria; Pseudomonadati; Pseudomonadota; Gammaproteobacteria; Vibrionales; Vibrionaceae. The record is from RNAcentral.